Molecule: ribosomal RNA, 840 nt
Filed under: uncultured bacterium
Lineage: Bacteria
Description: bacterial SSU rRNA
Rfam family: Bacterial small subunit ribosomal RNA
Source: RNAcentral
UUUUGUGCUGUGCCUAACACAUGCAGUCGAACGGGAUCCCCUGGAUUCGUCUGGGGGUGAGAGUGGCGAACGGGUGAGUAACACGUAGGUGACCUGCCCCAAAGUGGGGAAUAACCAUUGGAAACGGUGGCUAAUACCCCAUGUGCUCGGCGAUUCGGUUCGCCGAGUAAAGCUACGGCGCUUUGGGAGGGACCUGCGGCCCAUCAGGUAGUUGGUAGGGUAACGGCCUACCAAGCCAAUGACGGGUAGGGGGCGUGAGAGCGUGAUCCCCCACACUGGCACUGAGACACGGGCCAGACUCCUACGGGAGGCAGCAGUGAGGAAUAUUGCCCAAUGGACGCAAGUCUGAGGCAGCAACGCCGCGUGGGCGAUGAAGGCCUUCGGGUUGUAAAGCCCUUUUCUGAGGGACGAGGAAGGACGGUACCUCAGGAAUAAGUCACGGCUAACUACGUGCCAGCAGCCGCGGUAAUACGUAGGUGGCGAGCGUUAUCCGGAUUCACUGGGCGUAAAGCGCGUGUAGGUGGUUCCGUAAGUCGGACGUGAAAGCUCCUGGCUUAACUGGGAGAGGCCGUUCGAUACUGCGGGGCUUGAGGUCGGGAGAGGGACGUGGAAUUCCCGGUGUAGUGGUGGAAUGCGUAGAUAUCGGGAGGAACACCAGUGGCGAAGGCGACGUCCUGGCCCGCACCUGACGCUAAGACGCGAAAGCGUGGGGAGCGAACGGGAUUAGAUACCCCGGUAGUCCACGCUGUAAACGGUGGAUACUAGGUGUUGGUGACUAUCGUCAUCAGUGCCGUAGCUAACGCGUUAAGUAUCCCGCCUGGGACUGCGGCCGCAAGGCUA